UAAAACAAGUUCGGAGAGGUCCGAAAGUCACUGUCCCUAUCUACUAUCUAGCGAAACCACAGCCAAGGGAACGGGCUUGGAAUAAUUAGCGGGGAAAGAAGACCCUUUUGAGCUUGACUCUAAUCUGGCAGUGUAAGGAGACAUAAGAGGUGUAGAAUAAGUGGGAGAUAUUAGACCUCGGUUUGGUAUCGUCAAUGAAAUACCACUACUCUUAUUGUUUCCUUACAAUACGGGAUUAAAUGGAACGUGUAUCAUUUCCUAGCCAUU
RNAcentral lists this non-coding RNA (267 nucleotides) under Drosophila sechellia. RNAcentral's name for it is "Eukaryotic large subunit ribosomal RNA". It matches the Rfam family "Eukaryotic large subunit ribosomal RNA", at positions 2109 to 2562 of the family's 3401-position model. The record is from Rfam by way of RNAcentral. Lineage: Eukaryota; Metazoa; Arthropoda; Insecta; Diptera; Drosophilidae.